This 88-nucleotide transfer RNA is filed under the name Enterobacteriaceae bacterium. Its description in RNAcentral is "tRNA-Ser". It matches the Rfam family "tRNA". From Rfam's summary of the family: Transfer RNA (tRNA) molecules are approximately 80 nucleotides in length. Their secondary structure includes four short double-helical elements and three loops (D, anti-codon, and T loops). Lineage: Bacteria; Pseudomonadati; Pseudomonadota; Gammaproteobacteria; Enterobacterales; Enterobacteriaceae. The record is from RNAcentral.
GGAGGGGUGGCCGAGUGGCUGAAGGCAGCGGUCUUGAAAACCGCCGAUGGGUAACCAUCCCAGAGUUCGAAUCUCUGCUCCUCCGCCA